ACAUGCAAGUCGAGGGGCAUCACGAGGUAGCAAUACUUUNGGUGGCGACCGGCGUACGGGUGCGUAACACGUAUGCAACCUUCCUGUAAGUGUGGGAUAGCCUCCUGAAAGGGAGAUUAAUACCUCAUGAUAUGUAUUUGCUGCAUGGCAUUUACAUUAAACAUUUAUGGCUUACAGAUGGGCAUGCGUUCCAUUAGGCAGUUGGUGUGGUAACGGCUCACCAAACCUACGAUGGAUAGGGGUUCUGAGAGGAAGGUCCCCCACACUGGAACUGAGACACGGUCCAGACUCCUACGGGAGGCAGCAGUGAGGAAUAUUGGUCAAUGGGCGCGAGCCUGAACCAGCCACGUCGCGUGAAGGAUGACGGCCUUAUGGGUUGUAAACUUCUUUUACAGGGGAAUAAAGUGAGUCACGUGUGAUUUUUUGCAUGUACCCUGUGAAUAAGCAUCGGCUAACUCCGUGCCAGCAGCCGCGGUAAUACGGAGGAUGCGAGCGUUAUCCGGAUUUAUUGGGUUUAAAGGGUGCGUAGGCGGGAUAUUAAGUCAGCGGUGAAAGUUUUCGGCUUAACCUUAAAAUUGCCGUUGAAACUGUUAUUCUUGAGUGCAGUAGAGGUAGGCGGAAUUCGUUGUGUAGCGGUGAAAUGCGUAGAUAUAACGAGGAACUCCGAUUGCGUAGGCAGCUUACUAUAUUGCUACUGACGCAGAGGCACGAAAGUGUGGGUAUCAAACAGGAUUAGAUACCCUGGUAGUCCACACAGUAAACGAUGAAUACUAGCUGUUUGCGAUAUAUUGUAAGCGGCCGAGCGAAAGCAUUAAGUAUUCCACCUGGGGAGUACGUC
This 838-nucleotide ribosomal RNA is filed under the name uncultured bacterium. RNAcentral describes it as "bacterial SSU rRNA". It matches the Rfam family "Bacterial small subunit ribosomal RNA", at positions 53 to 886 of the family's 1533-position model. The record is from RNAcentral.